AGUGAACGCUGGCGGUAGGCCUAACACAUGCAAGUCGAACGGCAGCACAGUAAGAGCUUGCUCUUACGGGUGGCGAGUGGCGGACGGGUGAGGAAUACAUCGGAAUCUACUUUUUCGUGGGGGAUAACGUAGGGAAACUUACGCUAAUACCGCAUACGACCUACGGGUGAAAGCAGGGGAUCUUCGGACCUUGCGCGAUUGAAUGAGCCGAUGUCGGAUUAGCUAGUUGGCGGGGUAAAGGCCCACCAAGGCGACGAUCCGUAGCUGGUCUGAGAGGAUGAUCAGCCACACUGGAACUGAGACACGGUCCAGACUCCUACGGGGGGCAGCGGGGGGGAAUAUUGGACAAUGGGCGGAAGCCUGAUCCAGCCAACCCGGGUGGGUGAAGAAGGCCUUGGGGUUGUAAAGCCCUUUUGUUGGGAAAAAAAAGCAGCAGGUUAAUACCCCGCUGUUCUGACGGUACCCAAAGAAAAAGCACCGGCUAACUUCGU
This 491-nucleotide ribosomal RNA is filed under the name uncultured bacterium. RNAcentral's name for it is "partial 16S ribosomal RNA". It matches the Rfam family "Bacterial small subunit ribosomal RNA", at positions 29 to 506 of the family's 1533-position model. The record is from RNAcentral.